RNAcentral lists this ribosomal RNA (1394 nucleotides) under Bacillus amyloliquefaciens. Its description in RNAcentral is "bacterial SSU rRNA". It matches the Rfam family "Bacterial small subunit ribosomal RNA", at positions 60 to 1437 of the family's 1533-position model. The record is from RNAcentral. Lineage: Bacteria; Bacillati; Bacillota; Bacilli; Caryophanales; Bacillaceae.
AGUCGAGCGGACAGAUGGGAGCUUGCUCCCUGAUGUUAGCGGCGGACGGGUGAGUAACACGUGGGUAACCUGCCUGUAAGACUGGGAUAACUCCGGGAAACCGGGGCUAAUACCGGAUGCUUGUUUGAACCGCAUGGUUCAGACAUAAAAGGUGGCUUCGGCUACCACUUACAGAUGGACCCGCGGCGCAUUAGCUAGUUGGUGAGGUAACGGCUCACCAAGGCGACGAUGCGUAGCCGACCUGAGAGGGUGAUCGGCCACACUGGGACUGAGACACGGCCCAGACUCCUACGGGAGGCAGCAGUAGGGAAUCUUCCGCAAUGGACGAAAGUCUGACGGAGCAACGCCGCGUGAGUGAUGAAGGUUUUCGGAUCGUAAAGCUCUGUUGUUAGGGAAGAACAAGUGCCGUUCAAAUAGGGCGGCACCUUGACGGUACCUAACCAGAAAGCCACGGCUAACUACGUGCCAGCAGCCGCGGUAAUACGUAGGUGGCAAGCGUUGUCCGGAAUUAUUGGGCGUAAAGGGCUCGCAGGCGGUUUCUUAAGUCUGAUGUGAAAGCCCCCGGCUCAACCGGGGAGGGUCAUUGGAAACUGGGGAACUUGAGUGCAGAAGAGGAGAGUGGAAUUCCACGUGUAGCGGUGAAAUGCGUAGAGAUGUGGAGGAACACCAGUGGCGAAGGCGACUCUCUGGUCUGUAACUGACGCUGAGGAGCGAAAGCGUGGGGAGCGAACAGGAUUAGAUACCCUGGUAGUCCACGCCGUAAACGAUGAGUGCUAAGUGUUAGGGGGUUUCCGCCCCUUAGUGCUGCAGCUAACGCAUUAAGCACUCCGCCUGGGGAGUACGGUCGCAAGACUGAAACUCAAAGGAAUUGACGGGGGCCCGCACAAGCGGUGGAGCAUGUGGGUUAAUUCGAAGCAACGCGAAGAACCUUACCAGGUCUUGACAUCCUCUGACAAUCCUAGAGAUAGGACGUCCCCUUCGGGGGCAGAGUGACAGGUGGUGCAUGGUUGUCGUCAGCUCGUGUCGUGAGAUGUUGGGUUAAGUCCCGCAACGAGCGCAACCCUUGAUCUUAGUUGCCAGCAUUCAGUUGGGCACUCUAAGGUGACUGCCGGUGACAAACCGGAGGAAGGUGGGGAUGACGUCAAAUCAUCAUGCCCCUUAUGACCUGGGCUACACACGUGCUACAAUGGGCAGAACAAAGGGCAGCGAAACCGCGAGGUUAAGCCAAUCCCACAAAUCUGUUCUCAGUUCGGAUCGCAGUCUGCAACUCGACUGCGUGAAGCUGGAAUCGCUAGUAAUCGCGGAUCAGCAUGCCGCGGUGAAUACGUUCCCGGGCCUUGUACACACCGCCCGUCACACCACGAGAGUUUGUAACACCCGAAGUCGGUGAGGUA